Molecule: ribosomal RNA, 393 nt
Filed under: uncultured bacterium
Lineage: Bacteria
Description: partial 16S ribosomal RNA
Rfam family: Bacterial small subunit ribosomal RNA
Source: RNAcentral
AUACGGAGGAUCCGAGCGUUAUCCGGAUUUAUUGGGUUUAAAGGGUGCGCAGGCGGGAGAUUAAGUCGGCGGUGAAAUUUUGCAGCUCAAAUGGAAAAGUGCCUUCGAAACUGGGUUCCUUGAGUGUAGAUGAAGUAGGCGGAAUUUGUGGGGUAGCGGUGAAAUGCAUAGAUAUUACGAGGAACUCCGAUUGCGCAGGCAGCUUACUAAACUACUACUGACGCUCAGGCACGAAGGCGUGGGGAUCAAACAGGAUUAGAUACCCUGGUAGUCCACGCAGUAAACGAUGAUUACUAGCUGUUUGCGAUACAAUGUAAGCGGCUGAGCGAAAGCGUUAAGUAAUCCACCUGGGGAGUACGUUCGCAAGAAUGAAACUCAAAUGAAUUGACGGGG